Molecule: unclassified non-coding RNA, 4937 nt
Filed under: Hevea brasiliensis (rubber tree)
Lineage: Eukaryota; Viridiplantae; Streptophyta; Magnoliopsida; Malpighiales; Euphorbiaceae
Source: RNAcentral
AACCAUUGCUCUCUCUCCUUUCAUUCUUGUUCUGCAUCUUGGUAUGCAAUUGUAAUUAUUAAGACAGAUAAUAAGAAAUUAUAUAAAUAAGCUAAAAUCAUAACACAUCUAUAGGCAGGCUUCAUCUCAUUAUUUAACAGCUCAUCAAAUCUACAAAAUUAACUUAAAAUGUCCUGCUGAUUGAGCAUAGUUGUCAUAAUAAUCAAGGCCAGUAAAUUGAUAACUAGCCCUUGCUGAAUGUUUAACCCUUCAAAAUCUAACUGGCUACUGAGAAUAGUAGAUGCCAUAGAAGCACCCCUAAUGAUGCAGCAUAUUUGAGUUUCUUGCAGCAUCACCAGGGUAAAUACUCUUUAAGAUGGAUAUUGCCAUUGGAAUAAUACUGAUAAAGGCAAGUUGCAGUUCUGAGCUACUGGUCUUGAUGGUGAUCUGUCCACUUUGCCUGUUAUUCAUUCCAACAUGGAUAGCCAUUUUUGAAUUCCGACCAAUGGAGAACUGAGAGUCUAAGUUGGCCAGUACACCCAAAUCACCUCUCCAAUUCAUCAGAGACAAGCCUAAUGUGGUUUGAUCCUGCUCUACAGGAAAAUCCUUGCUUUUGAGGCGAAUUUCAAAGUUGGCUCCAUAUGCUGUAUCACCUCCAGAUCUUACAGCCCCAGCAUUUCCCACCAAAGCCAAGCGCUUUCCAAUAGCAAUCUGGUCCUCAAUUUUCAGUCCUGUGGCCACAUUUUUGCUCAGCAAAGCAAUGGAUAUCCCAGCAGAAGUAUUGUUUAUCUUAAAAUUCUUGAAUUUGGUUUCGCUUCUGAGGAUAUAUCCAAGCUGCCUUCCAAUAGUCUGAAUGUCAAAUCCUGCCAUUGUUGAUCUAUUUUCUCCAUGCUUUACACAAAUUGAGGAAUCUAAGUGGAUAUUAAACUCUUUCUUGUCCUUUGUGAUUUGAACAGCAAAUCCACCUGGGAACUGACCAGCAAUAGCAAGAUUUCUUUCAAGACUAACACCAUCAUACCCACAGUCAUGGUCCCAGCCUUGUGAGUCCAGAACUGGUCUCACAAGAAGCUGUGAUGUAGGCUCCAACAUUCGGUACCUAUAAGAAGGACUGUCACUGUCAAAGGAAGGCGGGAGGACGAAUUCGGGUAUGGGAACUGGCACACUUGCUGGACCUCCAUCUUCCUGGUCUACAUCUUCCCCAGUGUAGUCACGAUCACUUCUACUAUCUUUGCCUUUCUUCUUGAGCUCCUUCAACUUUUUCACCCCCUCUAUCCACUGCUUCUUUUGAAGGAGUUUCACCCGAUAAUCAUACUCAUCAAAAUAUGCUUGCCUUUGCACUCUGCUAAGCUUAUUAACCUGAGAUUUCUUCAAAGGCUUGAAAGAUGGAAGUUGAUCAUACUCAUCUUCUUCAUCGGAAUCAAAUAAAUCCAUAUCUGAAUCAUCAUCAUCACCACCCUGCCCAGCAGUGAGUUUUGGAUGAGGGCGAGACUGCAAUAAAGAAGACACCAAGUGGGACAGAGGUAGGGGACGUUGCCAUAAGCCAAACAGCUUCUUGUGAUCGGAAGGAUCUAGAGGCUUGGUUAUAGAACUCGCUUCUGAUAAAAUCUUCAAUGAGUAGCACAUCAGUAGUAAUUGGGGUCUCCAACUUUGUCCAUUGGGAAGGAUACUUUCUCCACUUUUGUUCUUUUGACACGAUGGAUGAUUCUCAACGAGAGAUACUGGAUGCAUCAUACUUGGAUGCAUUAGACGCAGAUCACCAACUGCUUGGCUAAUAGCCUGCUGAACACUAUGGGAUCGUUGAGCAACAAAAACUUCAAAACCUAGGGGUGAUCCAGAUAGCCCAUCGGGAGGAGGAGCAGCUGCAUGGGUCAGAGUGACAAUGGCAUUUCGCCAUAUUGAUGCGGUGAGAGAAUUAGUAAGUGAGGCUAACAAUGGCAAAUCAUUGAGGUCUCUUGCAUGGGUGUCUAGCCGAUCAACAUAGAGGACAACAUCCGGAGGGAACUUCUCUGUCAACUUCUUUAUAGAUGCUAAUAUUUUCCUGUUGGUAGCUUCUUCCUUCACAGGGGAUCUGAGACCUGGUGUGUCAAGGAUUCUGAUCCUAACUCCAUCUAUUGUUCCAACAAUCUCUUUAACCCUAGUUGUGGCAGGUUCAAAUGCAUUGAUCAUGACUUUCUUCUCUCCAAAUAUAGAAUUAAUGGUAGCACUUUUCCCCACUCCAGUUUUCCCAAUAACAAAAAUGUUCAAACAGAAGUCUAAUUCAUCUUUGCCCUCCGCUUCAAGUUGCAUGGCCAUUCUCUUAGAAGAUUCAAGGGUAAAUUCUUGGCUAACAUGUAACCCUGCAGCUAGGACCAACCUAUGUAACACUUGUGCAACUAUUGAAUCUUCAGGAGAAAGUCCAAGUCGCUGGACAAGCCUCAAGAACUUCACCCUAAUAUGCUGUAUCUUUUCAAUCAUCUUCUUUUCUUCCACACUUGUACGAUCAUUCACGGCAUCCUUGACCAUACUCAAUUGAGAAGCCCGUUUUGUACUGUCAAAUGAGGAACCCAAACCAGCAGGGUACGCAACAGAAAAUACUUUAGAACCAGUAGAGGUUGCCGUGACACUGCCUCCAUCCAACUCAACUCCAGUUGCUGCUUUCAAAAGAGUAGCCAAUGCAGCUGAGUCAAAUAAUUUCUUUGCUUCACGCUCCUUAUCUGUCUCCAAUUUUUCAAUAAUCUGUCCAUCAAUGCUGUGUUGAUGAUCAUGGAAAUCAUCAGCCACUGGUAAAGGAGAGGAGGCUGCACUUUUCUCCAAUUCACUCAUGUUACGCUCAAUACUUCCAGAGCCUCCAAAUAUCAGUUCUUCAAUAUCUUCAUCAGACAAAAAACCUCUUUGCGUUUCUAUCUUUUCUGAAUCAUGGUUUACUUCAUCUCUGAUACCAAAAGAAUUGGUAUUGCCCUGAGACGCUACUUCUAGUCUAUCAACUCCAAACAUUUCAGGAAAAUCAACACUUUCCAGCAAAUCCACGGUCUGAAUUUCGUUCGUCUCAAAUGCAGAGUCCACAGAUUCUACUGUGAUGGCAUCUUCAGGUGCAAGAGAUUCAACCCUCAUGCCAGUUUCUCGCCCAGAUUUACCGUCUAGUUUCUCAAUGUCAUUGCCUUUCUCAAGGGCAACACUUCUAUUAAAGACACAGCUCUGAUAACCGUUAACAAAAUCUGUAGCUUUUUCUGCCUCCACUCCCAAGACUUCCACUUUCAUUUCUUGAGGCUCUGGCACAAUUUUCUGAAGAGACUCAUCAGCAGAAUUAAUUACAGUCACAGAGGAAUUAUUAGAACUGUUAACUAUUUCACUUAUCUGUACCUCUUGCAGGACAGCACCAUCAACCUUCAUUUCUCGUAUAUCUGGAACAAUAUUCUCAACCUGGUUCAACUCAGAAGUAUCACCAAAACCAUUAGUUACAUCAGAAACAUGUUCCUUUAGCUGGCUGGCACUGCAAUUCUCAGAUACAUGAUUCAUAAAAACGUUCUCCAUACUCUUUAUGUUGUGCCCAUCUCUUCCAUUCAGUUCAAUCUUUUCCUGCUCCAAAUUCCCAAGCUGCGGCCUUUCUUCAGCAAAUUGCUUAGUAUCAUCAUCCACUUGAGAAUAUUUCCCCAAGACCUCUUCUUUGCUCUCCACCAAAAACUCGAUAGGAGCCUCUGGUACAAGAACUUGACCAUCGUCCUCAACCAAUUCAACUGAAACGGGUUCAUCAGCAACAUGCUUAGCAUCUUCCUUCAUUUCUGGAUUCUCUUUAUUUUCCACCGAAGGCUCGACUUGAGCUUCCGAUGUAAACGCACGGUAAUCAUUCUUGAUCAAUUCAACCGAAGCAGAGCCAUUAGGAGAACACUUCACUGCAAAUUUACUUUCUUCAAUACCCGAAACAUCAUAGUCUGCUCCAACAAAAUUACCCGAAAUCAAAUCCUCAUUAUCUCCCACUGGUAACAACUCAAUCUCGUUCACAACAUGUGAAUCUCCUUGCACCAAUGGCUCAUCUUCUUUAUCAUAUUCAACAGCCGACACUCUGACUCUAGGUGCACUAACCAUAGCUGAAAACCUGCCAUCUCCCGUAUCACCGCUGACCAUUCCCUCAUCACUCAUCGACCCCUCAAAAUCAUCGUCAUCCACUGACAAUUGGGCAACAGGCAUAACCCGCUGCAAAUAAGGACUAUCGGAUUCGACAACGGGCCUAUAAUGAUCAGUGACACCACUCUCCUCGUCUAUAACUGAACUUCCCAAACUUUCUUCAUCUGGGUUCGGCACAAAAGCCCUAGAGAGUUUAUUUUUAUCCAAAAGGCCACUCUCUUCACGGUUUUCCUCAUCUGGGUUGCCUGCAAAAAGCUUCUCUGACCCACUUUCAAACUCCUCAACACUAACAUACUCGUCAGACUCAGACCCAUUAUCAAUAUUACUACUAGUAUCACUAUAACCAUGGUCAGUAUGACCGUUAGAUUCAAAAUCAGAAGAAUCAUCGUCAGGAGUAAUAGGAGCUCGGAUAGGAAGAGAACCUGUAGGCGAUGGCAGCAAUGAGUUGGAAAAGGAAGGGGACCCUUGUGUCUUGGAAAGUGAAACACGGGGAAUCGAGGCCAUGGCUUGGAGCUCUUGUUUUUCACGGAAACAGAGAAAACAUACAGAGUUGCCAAAGCAGAAAAAGGCCAGUAGCUUUUAGUUAGGGUUGUAAAUGAUGCUUAGUCCCAUGGCUAUGCUUGGUGUUGCACUUUUGGGCCAGUAGCAGUACUUGGGAAGGAGGGAGCCAUUCACGAGGCACGUUAAGGUUGGGAUUAACAGGUGAGUUCUCUUUUGUUUGACAAGUAGAGAUUCCGUUUUGGAGUCUUCUGGGAGAUGUGGACACACAAAGGUUUUGUCUCUUGUGAUUAUCCCAUCCACACGGACCACAGCCUCCAGGCAAUUCAGCUCCUAGCCUUUCGUGUGUGGUCUCAAAC